UGGGGAAUCUUGCACAAUGGGGGCAACCCUGAUGCAGCGACGCCGCGUGAGCGAUGAAGCCCUUCGGGGCGUAAAGCUCUUUCGACCGGAACGAUAAUGACGGUACCGGGAGAAGAAGCUGCGGCUAACUACGUGCCAGCAGCCGCGGUAAUACGUAGGCAGCAAGCGUUGUUCGGAGUUACUGGGCGUAAAGUGUGCGUAGGCGGUUUUCUAAGUUCGGUGUGAAAUCUCCCGGCUUAACUGGGAGGGUGCGCCGAAGACUGGGAAGCUGGAGUGUGGGAAAGGCAGGCGGAAUUCCUGGUGUAGCGGUGAAAUGCGUAGAUAUCAGGAGGAACACCGGCGGUGUAGACGGCUUGCUAGACCAUAACUGACGCUGAGGCACGAAAGCGUGGGUAGCAAACA
RNAcentral lists this ribosomal RNA (402 nucleotides) under uncultured bacterium. RNAcentral describes it as "bacterial SSU rRNA". It matches the Rfam family "Bacterial small subunit ribosomal RNA", at positions 355 to 774 of the family's 1533-position model. The record is from RNAcentral.